Long non-coding RNA from Venturia canescens, 2053 nucleotides. RefSeq lists it as uncharacterized. NCBI's taxonomy places the organism in Eukaryota, Metazoa, Arthropoda, Insecta, Hymenoptera, Ichneumonidae. The record is from RefSeq and is a predicted model, not a curated record. The transcript is spliced from 3 exons.
GCACUUCGGUAUAAACUCGACGGGGCUCGGACGUAAUCGGAUUCUUCUUGAACUGGGAGAUAUCGUCACACACUACAAACGAUUUCACCAACACCGAUGUACGACUUCAGGGUUUCUCAGUCGAUAACGAAGAUCGAGACGGUUUCGUGGAGAAAAAAGGUGCCUGAGAAAAAAGAAAACUGCUUGAACUCUGCCGAGAUGCAAUCGCUUCGGGUCGCAAAUUCCGAUGAGGUUGCACGAGUCCUUCUGGGGUGGGGCUUGAUGGAAAAAAAUACUUUCGAUUUCAACUCAAUUUCAGAGCCUUUGUAACGAUUAAUAUGAACUAAAUUUCCUAAUGAACCUUCACUAUUCGAAGAAUAGAGUUUUUCCCGAGAAUUUGAAGAAUGAGAUCGUAUUACAUAAGAAAUUAAGUUGAAUGAUGAAGUGGAAAAUACGAAAAAUGUUUUGAAAAGUGUUCUUCACUUCCUACAAAGAAAUUCGAAUGUGUGCAGCUCUUGUUUUUGUGUUCAAGCCGAGAGCUUAACGUCCAUCACAAUUAAUCCGCUAAUAAAUGGCAGUCCGAAACUCGAGGACGCUCGAGUUUGAUUCAAAAACUGGUAGCUGGUGAGGACUCGAUAUUUUCUUCAAAACAGUGAUUUAUCCACAAGCCAGUUACAGUUUCGAUUCGUCUAUGCGAACUGUGAAUCAAAUCGGGCUACCAAACGCAAGUCCAUAGGCAAAAUUAUGGCCGGAAACAAAAUGCUGGGCAAAUUAUUGCUGCAAAAUAAGAAAGUUGGAAGCAGCGAAUGAUGAUAUUCCUGGUGCCGAGUUAUUUCAUCGUCGGAACGUUUGCUCGCAGUGUGAGACGUCGCGGAGGUCCUGCCCUCGGACGGUGAGGAUUGAAACUAUAUCGACGUAGUUAUUUACCAAAGUGGAAGAUUGAGAUUCAUUGGUCAGUGAAACCGCGACGCAGAACGAUCGAAUGCCAGAGUGUGGAGAAAAUUCAUGGUAUUUAACCUUAAUAAGUAGAUCAAUGGGAAUGGGUUAAUCAACGGAACGCUCCGUUGCCGGCUCCCGUGUUUGACGGUAUUGCAGAGUGCGCGAGGAGCUACUGCAGACGCCUGCCAGAUGGCGCAGCGGACGUUUUCUUUCAGAAUCACACGCACAGGCGCGCCCGGGUGCGGUCGAAAAACCACCUGACGAAAGACGUUUUCACCGCUCGUGUGUUCCCGUUUUCACAAAUUCCAACUGAGAAUAUCGUUCGUGCCAAAAUUGAAUUCGUCCGAAGUGCACGUGAAAUAAUCGCGGAAACUGCGCGAAAUAAUAAAAUCAAAGGAGAAUCACAAAUAUUGAAAGUGACGGAAGAAUUAUUUCGUUCACGAAAAAUAACCUCCAAAGCACGUGUCACGAAUGUGACAAAUGAACUCGAAAAAAGGACUGAAAAUGUACAAAAUAGGUCGCCAGCAGAACUUUCUAACCUCCGACACAACACGAGAUGAACAACAAAGGAAAAGCCGACAAUAUUUCCGUUGCAUGCUGACAUCGUUCAACAAACAAAAACACGGAAAAGAUGGAAUGAGGGUGAAAUGUGAUGGACAACAUGGCGAGAUUGCUCAGCGGAUACCUGAUUUCCGCCAUCAGUGAAAUACCAUUCAAACGAUUCCGACCUAGAAUCGGCUAGCGGGUUGUUUCAUCAAGAAACACAAGAGACGAAACCGAAGAUAUGGCAAUGCUGAAAGCGCUAGGCUCACGUACAUUGAACGAGUUCUUGAACAUAAUUUUGAAUCCUCAAGUUCGAGAUAAAUACGAUCAUUUAAACGAGGUAAUUAUUUAUGGUUUCAUUAAAAUAAAAGAAGAUUUUGAAAAUAAUUGAACGACGCAGCGUCGAGGAGUGCAAUGCACUUGCAAUAGCUACAUGAAAUAAAAGAACUUGCGAGAGGAAAACUUAGCGAAAACGGCAAUAAUUCUUUCUGGCCGAUUCAGACGCUUUCACAUUUUCAGACAAUGCUUUAAUUAUCGGGGUACCUGGAUUUCAAUGGCCCGGCAUAAAUGGCCGAGCAUGGUGCCCAAGUAA